RNAcentral lists this ribosomal RNA (253 nucleotides) under uncultured bacterium. Its description in RNAcentral is "partial 16S ribosomal RNA". It matches the Rfam family "Bacterial small subunit ribosomal RNA", at positions 524 to 776 of the family's 1533-position model. The record is from RNAcentral.
UACGUAGGGUGCAAUCGUUGUCCGGAAUUAUUGGGCGUAAAGAGCUCGUAGGCGGUCUGUCGCGUCGGCUGUGAAAACUCGGGGCUCAACUCCGAGCUUGCAGUCGAUACGGGCAGGCUAGAGUUCGGCAGGGGAGACUGGAAUUCCUGGUGUAGCGGUGAAAUGCGCAGAUAUCAGGAGGAACACCGGUGGCGAAGGCGGGUCUCUGGGCCGAUACUGACGCUGAGGAGCGAAAGCGUGGGGAGCGAACAGG